GCAAAAGUGUGGCAUAGAGGUUUGAGCAUUACACUAUGACUCUGGAGACCAGAGUUCGAUUCCCUGCUUGGCC
Non-coding RNA from Phrynosoma platyrhinos (Desert horned lizard), 73 nucleotides. The record is from the annotation of a GenBank genome assembly. NCBI's taxonomy places the organism in Eukaryota, Metazoa, Chordata, Lepidosauria, Squamata, Phrynosomatidae.